This 301-nucleotide ribosomal RNA is filed under the name uncultured bacterium. RNAcentral's name for it is "partial 16S ribosomal RNA". It matches the Rfam family "Bacterial small subunit ribosomal RNA", at positions 509 to 807 of the family's 1533-position model. The record is from RNAcentral.
CAGCCGCCGCGGUAAUACGAAGGGGGCUAGCGUUGUUCGGAAUUACUGGGCGUAAAGCGCACGUAGGCGGAUAUUUAAGUCAGGGGUGAAAUCCCGCAGCUCAACUGCGGAACUGCCUUUGAUACUGGGUAUCUUGAGUAUGGAAGAGGUUAGUGGAAUUGCGAGUGUAGAGGUGAAAUUCGUAGAUAUUCGCAGGAACACCAGUGGCGAAGGCGGCUAACUGGUCCAUAACUGACGCUGAGGUGCGAAAGCGUGGGGAGCAAACAGGAUUAGAUACCCCGGUAGUCCCUGUCUCUUAUAC